CCUACGGGGAGCAGCAGUGAGGAAUAUUGGUCAAUGGACGAGAGUCUGAACCAGCCAAGUAGCGUGAAGGAUGACUGCCCUAUGGGUUGUAAACUUCUUUUAUAAAGGAAUAAAACGAGGCACGUGUGCCUUUUUGCAUGUACUUUAUGAAUAAGGAUCGGCUAACUCCGUGCCAGCAGCCGCGGUAAUACGGAAGAUCCGAGCGUUAUCCGGCUUUAUUGGGUUUAAAGGGAGCGUAGAUGGGUUGUUAAGUCAUUUGUAAAAGUUUGCGGCUCAACCGUAAAAUUGCAAUUGAUACUGGCAGUCUUGAGUACAGUUGAGGUAGGCGGAAUUCGUGGUGUAGCGGUGAAAUGCUUAGAUAUCACGAAGAACCCCGAUUGCGAAGGCAGCUUACUAAACUGUGACUGACAUUGAUGCUCGAAAGUGUGGGUAUCAAACAGGAUUAGAUACCCGAGUAGUC
RNAcentral lists this ribosomal RNA (460 nucleotides) under uncultured bacterium. Its description in RNAcentral is "partial 16S ribosomal RNA". It matches the Rfam family "Bacterial small subunit ribosomal RNA", at positions 338 to 795 of the family's 1533-position model. The record is from RNAcentral.